RNAcentral lists this ribosomal RNA (428 nucleotides) under uncultured bacterium. RNAcentral's name for it is "partial 16S ribosomal RNA". It matches the Rfam family "Bacterial small subunit ribosomal RNA", at positions 354 to 796 of the family's 1533-position model. The record is from RNAcentral.
GUGGGGAAUAUUGGGCAAUGGGCGCAAGCCUGACCCAGCAACGCCGCGUGAGGGAAGAAGGUCUUCGGAUUGUAAACCUCUGUCCUUGGGGACGAAAAAAAUGACGGUACCCAAGGAGGAAGCUCCGGCUAACUACGUGCCAGCAGCCGCGGUAAUACGUAGGGAGCGAGCGUUGUCCGGAAUUACUGGGCGUAAAGGGUGCGUAGGCGGCAUGGCAAGUCAGAUGUGAAAUCCCCGGGCUUAACUCGGGGGGUGCAUUUGAAACUGCUGUGCUUGAGUGCAGGAGAGGAAAGCGGAAUUCCUAGUGUAGCGGUGAAAUGCGUAGAUAUUAGGAGGAACACCAGUGGCGAAGGCGGCUUUCUGGACUGUAACUGACGCUGAGGCACGAAAGCGUGGGGAGCAAACAGGAUUAGAAACCCCGGUAGUCC